AAAAAUGGAAAACUGAUAUUGUCAAAAUGUGUUUUCCCCAUUUGAAUAGUUUCAAAUCGGACACCAGAGGUCAGCUACUUUGCUGAUUUUCUCCUAUUGCAAAUGACUAUUCUAGAUAGUUUUUUUGACGUUUCCAAUGUGUCAUCCCGUGUAUCAAUUUUUUUCAUUUUUGCAGAAAAUGAAGCUUAUUAAAAGGGCAUUUGACCGUAAAAAACUGGUGGGGUUACAAUGGCUUUUUAACACGUUGACUGCCGCAAUGUUAAAAAAAAGUGAGGUGUUCCAGCCAAAACUUUUUUUCUUUUUUCUUACACUAUCUUAUCUUUUCAAAGCUGCUGACAAUUUUUAUUUACAAAAAUUAUUUGUUUAUAACAAUAUUUUGAAUGAGACUCACCUUUUGUGUCACGUGGCCUCAAGGGUUAUUAUUACCUUAAAAGCCGCGAGUACCCAACGUGGUUCCUCGCAACGUCUGGACUCAACUUGUCUUAACUAGAAUUCCUGACUGAUGCUGGUUCGUGGUUACUUGUUAGUAAUGUCAGUACAGUGUCUCUGAACUGACAUACAUAUUUUUGUAUCUGUUUAUGUUGAAAAAUUAAAAAAAUGAGUUUCGAAGAAGAGCAAAAGCGUUUGCAGCAGCUAUGGCAGUUAGGAAUGUUUGUCUGACGAAGAUGACAAUCAAAGUUUGUUUGGUGAAUCCUCCGAUGAAUACGUUCCGAGUAACGAAAACGAAUCUGACGAAUUCUCCGAUGACUUCGAUAGGACACCUAUACAGAAGCGUCCCAAAAUUGAUAAUAUCACUGUCAAUGCUCGAAAUGUGCCAAAACCAAGUUGUUCAAGUGUAUCAGACAUAAGUGACUCGGUAUUACAAACAAUUGAGCGAGUUAUUGAGGAAAAUGCGUGUGUUAGCAGCAGUGAUGAUGAAGAGGUUCCAGAUGAUGACAGUCUUACUUGGGAUCGCGUAACAGGAUUAAACCUGAAGAACUUUGUAUUCACAGAACCCAAUCCAGGAAUAAGUGCCGAAAUCUAUGAAAACUACUAUAUAAAAUCACCACUUGAUUUUUAUGAAUUAUUUUUGGACGAAAAUAUUCUCAUUAUGAUGGUAACUGAAACAAACCGAUAUGCAGCUCAAUGUAAAGCUAAACAAAAUGCACCUAAAGCUAGAAUUCGAGAUUGGCAUAAUACAGAUGUUGAAGAAAUGAGAAAAUUUAUUGGUGUCUUAUUGUGGAUAGGACUUAUUCAAUACCCAAGCAUUGAAUCAUAUUGGUCAAAAAUGCCAAUAUAUCAGAAUGUGAUAAAGUCUGUUAUGUCUCGAAACCGAUUUCAAAUACUACUUAAAAUGUGGCAUUUUAGCUCUCCAGUUGCCACAGAGUUUACACGGCAGCGAGACGCAAACGUUGGCUCACACAGCGUUUCAGACGAAUAGUUACCGAGACAUACAUGUUGUGUCACAUGGCCGAUAAUGGCAGUACAUUGAAACGCCACUUUUAUGUCUCACGGCAGUCAACGUGUUAAGGCUGUAAUGAGUAUUCUGUAAUAAUGAGUGAACAACAAAAUAUUGACAUACAUACAAAAUUUACGCAUUGAUUCGCCUAUCUGCGAUAUCGAAGUGGAAGAAAACGAUGCUUCAGAAGCCGCUUCGGAGGCUUCAGAUGAUGGUUCUGGAGCCGCUGCGAGGGCUCCCGAGGUGGCUUUUUUAAUGGAGGAAUUAAAAAAGCUCAGAGAUGAACUGAAGUCAGAGCGUAAACAAAAAGGCCGCGGAAGAGGCCGCGGCGGAUGGAACAACAAGUGGAACAACAACAGCAAUAAGUCGCGAACAGAAAGGCGACAAGAUUUUUAUAACAGGAACCACGGCGCCGGAGACCAUCACUAUUAUGGCACCGUAAAUGCAACAUAUACCUACGACUCCAAAAAAAUAAUUAAUUUUGUAAUAUACCCAUAUGUAGAUAUUAUUAUAAUAAAUA
Long non-coding RNA from Tribolium madens (black flour beetle), 1958 nucleotides. RefSeq lists it as uncharacterized. Lineage: Eukaryota; Metazoa; Arthropoda; Insecta; Coleoptera; Tenebrionidae. The record is from RefSeq and is a predicted model, not a curated record. The transcript has 6 exons.